GACAGAGGUGCCGAGCGUUAGGCGAAAUCACUGGGCUUAAAGCGUGUGUAGGCGGAUCGUUAAGUACCUUGUGAAAUCCCACGGCUUAACCGUGGAACUGCUUGGUAUACUGGCGAUCUUGAGCCACCUAGGGGCAACCGGAACAAAUGGUGGAGCGGUGAAAUGCGUAGAUAUCAGGAGGAACACCGGUGGCGAAGGCGGAUCUCUGGGCCUUACCUGACGCUCAGGCGCGAAAGCUAGGGGAGCGAACUGG
Molecule: ribosomal RNA, 253 nt
Filed under: uncultured bacterium
Lineage: Bacteria
Description: partial 16S ribosomal RNA
Rfam family: Bacterial small subunit ribosomal RNA
Source: RNAcentral